Dreissena polymorpha is the source of this 805-nucleotide long non-coding RNA. RefSeq lists it as uncharacterized. Lineage: Eukaryota; Metazoa; Mollusca; Bivalvia; Myida; Dreissenidae. The record is from RefSeq and is a predicted model, not a curated record. The transcript is spliced from 3 exons.
GUGACGUCGUCAGCGAAAAUCAGUCUUGUGUACGCUGACGUUUAUUUCGGGAAAUCGCGAGAUAAAAAUCUUGUACGAAAAUGCGCUGGAUAUUUCGUCUUUUUCAUACAAUUUCUCCGCUCAUAAUUUAUGACAUGCUUUGAAAAUUUCCACAAUAUAGCAUGUAUAUGUCCUUUAAACACUGGCACAAUUGGUUGUUUGUAAUCCGCUUAUUUAAUUCAAAUUAUUCCCCUUGAAAGACACUGUUUCGUUUGAGCAGUUCACAGGUAGCGCAACCUGUCUCGUAGUGUUCAUUUUCAAUGGCUAUUAAACGCUGUAAAUCAAAAUGACAUCGUGUACUUAUGGAUGUCUUCAAUUGAAGAAGGUUCGGAAAUGAUAUUUCCACAUGCUUAAAAUAGGUUGGGAAGUUACGGUGUUGGCGAACAGCAUUCUCACUAUCAGUGUGACAACUGUUGCGGCCAAAAUAAAAACAACAUAGUCAUCUGGUACCUUCUUUGGAGAGUUCUUGUAGGUUUACACAGAAUCAUCACACUAAGCUUUAUGUUGAUAAGACAUACAAAGUUUACACCAGAUUGGCACUUUGGCAUCUGAAAGUCAAAGUGGAGGUAAAUUCCUUAUCACAGUAUGGUGUAUGUGACCUGCAUGAUCCUUCUUGAUAAACCUUGUUUGCAUUUCCAUAGGUCUAUCCAGUUGUAUAGUUCUGCCAUGUAAUAAAAUAUAAAAAUAAUAAAACAUAAAUCAAUUAAAAAUAGUGUGUAGGUACUUUAUGUCUUGUAACAGGAAAAUAAAUAUUCAUUUUAAUAGU